AUAAAUACACGGCGUAAAAGUGUUUUAGGAAUUACCAAAAUAAGACUAAACUUCACCUAAGUCGUAAAAAACUCCAGAUGAAUUUAAAUUCACAAACGAAAGUAGUCUUAAUUCACCUGAGCACACGAAAGCUAGGACACAAACUGGGAUUAGAUACCCCACUAUGCCUAACCAUAAACAUAAAAAUUUUUCAACAAAAAUUUUGCCAGAGAACUACUAGCAACAGCUUAAAACUCAAAGGACUUGACGGUGCUUACACCCACCUAGAGGAGCCUGUUCUGUAAUCGAUAAACCCCGAUCUACCUCACCGUUUCUUGCUAAUUCAGUCUAUAUACCGCCAUCUUUAGCAAACCCAAUUAUGGUAUAAAAGUAAGCACAAGUACUAGCAUAAAAACGUUAGGUCAAGGUAUAGCUCAUGGAACGGAAAGUAAUGGGCUACAUUUUCUUUACAAGAAAAUAACUCACGGAAACCCUCAUGAAACUUCGGGUCUAAGGAGGAUUUAGUAGUAAAUUAAGAAUAGAGAGCUUAAUUG
This 533-nucleotide ribosomal RNA is filed under the name Coendou prehensilis. RNAcentral describes it as "partial 12S ribosomal RNA". It matches the Rfam family "Bacterial small subunit ribosomal RNA", at positions 547 to 1364 of the family's 1533-position model. Lineage: Eukaryota; Metazoa; Chordata; Mammalia; Rodentia; Erethizontidae. The record is from RNAcentral.